RNAcentral lists this long non-coding RNA (216 nucleotides) under Homo sapiens (human). RNAcentral describes it as "HSALNT0087922". The record is from RNAcentral. Lineage: Eukaryota; Metazoa; Chordata; Mammalia; Primates; Hominidae.
UCCACAUGGCUGGGGAGGCCUCACAAUAAUGGUGGAAGGUGAACGGCACAUCUUACCUGGUGGCAGACAAGAGAGAAAAGAGAACCAUGCAAAAGCGGUUUCCCGUUAUAAAACCAUCAGAUCUCGUGAGACUUACUCACUACGACAAGAACAGUAUGAUUCAAUCAUCUCCCACUGGAGUUCAAGACUUCAAUCCCCUUGACAACCAAUUCCUAA